Molecule: ribosomal RNA, 464 nt
Filed under: uncultured bacterium
Lineage: Bacteria
Description: partial 16S ribosomal RNA
Rfam family: Bacterial small subunit ribosomal RNA
Source: RNAcentral
CUACGGGUUGCUGCAGUGGGGAAUAUUGCACAAUGGGCGCAAGCCUGAUGCAGCCAUGCCGCGUGUAUGAAGAAGGCCUUCGGGUUGUAAAGUACUUUCAGCGGGGAGGAAGGGAGUAAAGUUAAUACCUUUGCUCAUUGACGUUACCCGCAGAAGAAGCACCGGCUAACUCCGUGCCAGCAGCCGCGGUAAUACGGAGGGUGCAAGCGUUAAUCGGAAUUACUGGGCGUAAAGCGCACGCAGGCGGUUUGUUAAGUCGGAUGUGAAAUCCCCGGGCUCAACCUGGGAACGGCAUCUGAUACUGGCAAGCUUGAGUCUGGUAGAGGGGGGUAGAAUUCCAGGUGUAGCGGUGAAAUGCGUAGAGAUCUGGAGGAAUACCGGUGGCGAAGGCGGCCCCCUGGACGAAGACUGACGCUCAGGUGCGAAAGCGUGGGGAGCAAACAGGAUUAGAUACCCGGGUAGUC